This is a long non-coding RNA of Anguilla rostrata (American eel), 4636 nucleotides long. RefSeq lists it as uncharacterized. The record is from RefSeq and is a predicted model, not a curated record. NCBI's taxonomy places the organism in Eukaryota, Metazoa, Chordata, Actinopteri, Anguilliformes, Anguillidae. The transcript is spliced from 2 exons.
UGCUUGUGACAUGGCUACUGUAACUGCGCAAGGUCCUGUUUCUGCUAGGAGUCACGUGGAAGGCCCCUUUAAGUUUCCAUAGAGAGAGGCCCCAUUGUGUCACAUGAUGGACACGAUAUAAUGAAAUAGCAGGAACAGAAAUACGAAGUGCGCGCUGGGCAACCAAACUGUGAGAAACUACUUAUCGUCUACGAAAAUCUCUCACGCGCACUCGCGUCCUCCUGUUUUGAGAUGUGGAACAGGACUGUUGUGAAGCGCACCUAAGUCGCCUCCCUAAACGGAGAUGAUACGCAGCACAGGAUUGCACCUGCCUUUAGGCUUCUUUAGUAUUAUGUAAAAAAAAAAAAAAAAAGAAGAAAGAAAAGAAAUACAAUGGUCAGCUCCAAAGGGGCGUCUUUAUUCCAUUUGAACCGGGAAGCGGAAUCCAUGCCGGGCUCAUAGGCUAAAGGUAAGUGAAGUUAUUUAUAGUAGAUCAUCUAGUUGACUCGCAGCUGGAGCGCUGUGUUUUGUAAGCACAGCAGGUCUGUAGUUAGCUGUCAUGUUUGUUAAAAUUGUUGGCUGUAAGGUGUUUCCUUUCGCAAAUGUAUGUUAAAUACCUCUGACUGGUUUUGUGGCUUAUUCGACCAGGAAUUAAAAUUGCGUCAUAUUUCUGUUGCUAAGAGAAGAUUUCUUGAUCUUAUGCCACAUGUCUGUGACACUAGAGCUUUGCCAAUGUCCGCAUUCCAUCUUAUGUUGCGCAGAUAAAAUUCAAAGUUGACAUAAACAGCGGCGAUGUGUGUCUAAACGCCAUGGUUAGAUUUAGAUGGGUCUAUUUCCGUUUAAACGUUCAGGUUUUUUAAGUGCGCAACUCUGUACAGUUGUUUUACCUCUUCACGCCCCCAAGUGCGUAGUCGCUAUAAUAAUUGGCCUGUUAUUUCACAGGACUCUUUCGUUUUAGAAUGGCUACCAUUGAGAAUGUAAGAACCUGGUCUUGAUCUGGUUGUACCUAAAUGAUUAUUGUCUUUUAAGCUAUUUAAAGAUAAAGCGCCUUUCACAUACUUUGCGUGAUAUUUAUUUAUUUAACCUGUAUGUUUACAAUCGUCAUCACCAUAUAUGAGUUUGGCUAGUUGUAUUUUUUUUUGUAACCUAAUUGCAUUUAGGCUAUUACUUUUAAAGCCGAUUUCUGGCAAGCUAUAGCCCCUGUCCGGAAACGUAGUCCGGCUGCGCUCUUCUCGAGAAAAUCUCAGUUCUUGUUAUCAUACUGUCGCUCAGUCGUUAGACUAUAAAAUGAUGCACCCAAGUAAACGAUAUUUGUGGUGUAUUUCUCGCACUUCACUGACAGUAUGUGGGUUUUGUAGCCUACGUCGACGACUUGAAGUGAUAUUAAGUAGUCUAAUCGCCUAAAGCGUAUGUGGUCUGAUGCUCGACGUGUUGGUUUGCCUUUUGUAGGCUACGAAGUUACAAGUGCUUAGUUCGUAACAUAAUAUUAUCCUAGGCUACUCCUUUACAUGUGCUGAUUAUAUUUUGUGCAUUUAUAAAUAGCUAGUGUAUUCUAGUAAUUUGUCGUUGAUUUUUUAAUUCAGAUAAUGUUGCAAUACGGGCUGAUACAGUGUUAUAGGUGGGGGGCUAUGCUUCCAGUCCAAAUAUUUAUUGCAGUAGUCUAGUUGCGAAAAUGUGCUAAUAACUUGCGACGUCAUCAUAUUCGUUGUGAUUCGGAAAGGUAUGCUACUGAUCGCCAGACAGCUUUUAUAGUGCGGAUGUCGCGCGAGUAAAAUAAAUAUUUCGCUCGACCAUACACUAGUUUUAUUGAGACUACAUUACACCGAAUACAACAGAGAGGAAAUACAAAUGGAUGACCGAUGACCUACUCUGGAAUAAGGGGUCUGGACAGCGUCCUGCCAAGCAUCCAACAAUCCGGACUGGGGGCCUGCCUCUGACUCUCCCAAGAUCCUCCCCUCGCCAUUGGUUGAGAGGAAUUGUUGUGCAAGGAGGAUGAAUCAUCAAAGUCCUACAGGUAAUAAACUUCCUGUAUUUCAAAGGUGCUUGCAGAGAUUACUACUAUAGUCCUGCCAGGGACAUCGUGAUCUCUGUCUCUCUCUUUCUCUCUCUCUCUCACACACACACACACUCUUACUCUCCCACUCUCAAUCUCUCACUCUCUCUCUCACUUUCACUCUCUCUCAAUCUCUCUCACUCUUUCUCUCUCAAUCUCUCACUCUCACUUAUUCACACAUACACACACACACACACACACACAUACACAUAUACACAAACAGGCACACAGACUUUGUCGUGGGCUCAUAAAGCUGAAUGUUUAGUAUAAGCUACAAUAGAUAUGUGCGGAUAACCGUUGAAGUGGCCCGGUUAAAUGAAGCUAAACUGUAGGCAACAUACACUAUGUUAAACACAAUGAGUCAUGUUCUAGUUUCAUUCAUUGGGGGGGGGAGGAGGAGGGAGAGAGAAAGAGAGAGGGAGAGAGAGCGAGUGACAGAGUGACAGAGUAAGAGAGAGAAAAAGCGAGUGACAGUAAGAGAGAGAGAGAGUGAAAAGGAACAAGCAGGCGCGAGUACAGCUCCACAGACUGAGCAUGCUCUACCGCUCGAUUGUCAUUUCCUUCUCUCGUUUUCUGCACCUGUUCUCCAACUCCACCGCGCUGAUGCAGCUGGGCCAACCGGGUCGUGGGACGCAGCGACGGCGUAAGUACUGUGCGUCCCACUGUGUGGAGUUCUCAAAACUGUUUUACUGACAGCGAUGGCUAAAAUGUACAUUUUCUUCCUCCCACUGUAUUAUCACGUUUCUAAAUCUGUGUUGAUUCGCCUGUUUUGACGGUGGUAGUGGUGGAGUUGUAGUCAUCGAGUAUCCUCGAGUGUCAGGCGAGAGCUGCUGUUGCACUUUAGUGCAAAAUGAAACCAAUUUGCUGUCCUUUCGCAAGAAAAAUAAUGAAUUUCUAUAUUGCUUCUGUUACAUUAAGCCAAGAAAUAUAUACUCAGUUGUUUGUUUGUGUGCGUGUGUGUGCGUGCGUGUGCGUGCGUGUGUGUGUGUGUGCGCGUGUGUGCGCGUGCGCGUGUGUGUGGGUGUGUGUGUGUGUGUACGCGCAUGUCAGCCUUUUUCUGGAACUCGUAUCUUUUCCCAAGAAACGGACUGUGGACUUCACUCUCUGGUGUUAUGGUUGUGGGGUCACAGCCUCUUUGAGAAGCUCUAGUGGCCCUUUGUAUCCACAACAGCCAUGUAACUGUAACUGCAUAACAACAGCCAUGUAACUGUAACUGCAUAACAACAGCCGUGUAACUGUAACUGCAUAACAACAGCCAUGUAACUGUAACUGCAUAACAACAGCCAUGUAACUGUAACUGCAUAACAACAGCCGUGUCCACAGAACAUUCACAGAUUGAUGACUGUCGGCUCGUGAGGAGCAGCAAGCUCAACAUGACCGUACCUCUAUACAGGUCAACAUACUGUAAGCUCAUAUAAGCCAACACCAAACCGCUAGCCCAGCACUUAGCAUUAAGACGCAGUGCCACAUUAGCAUAUUCAGGUUCAUUUGUCCUGUAAGACGGUUUUUAUAUGCAGAGGGAGCACCAAGACCCAAAAAAAAAAGCUGUGUGAGAGCAGGGAGCGUACGCUCUCCCCCCGAGCGACACGCGGGACUUCCUGUGGCGGCCCGGCUCAGUUACCGAAAUGACUGGAUUUGGGCGGGCGCUGUUUGAGGCGCGUACGCUCUCCUGGCCCCGGGCCAGCCUCGUGGGGAUUUCAUGUUCUGAUGAGCGCGAUCCGCAGCCUGCACCCCAUUGGUUGAGGCAUGGCUUUCAGGGCCUGUGUUCUCGUGAAAUGGGGGGGGGGUUUUUUCUUUCUUCUUCUUCUUCUUCUGACCGACUCUGUGGCUUGGGUUUUCUGAACCUUUAUUUUGUAACAUCAGUUACAAUCCUAUCAGUUUCCCUCAUCCAUCGUGACUCACUCACAUUUACAUAUUAAUCAUUUCUGCAGUGGUGAAUUUGGGCCGAGAACUUUUUUCGCAACAGCAGUCACCCACAUUUGAAUCAGCGUACAAAACCUCGGUCUUAAAAUGAAACAUGAAAGGGCUACAAAAGUUGAGGGUGCAUAUAUUACAAGCCAGGGUGAGAAAUCUAUGUGCGAAUGAGCUGUAACUUUUUUAAGUGUUCCAGUGAAGUCUGUUUCAGGGGCUUGAGACAUGAAGACUGGCCACUGCCCCAGCUGCUAGCGGUCAGGCGGACCUGGGCCCCGGGCAAAGGAGAUGCGCUGGCCAGAGUUAUCACUGUGGAAAGAGCGCUUGCUUAAGGGUAAGCUUGGUCUGUGGUUGAGCAGUCAGUGGGGCUUGGUGCCAUGGCAACAGGUGCAAUAUUUUGAGGAUACUUACCGGUGAGGUUUUCGAGGAUGGCGGCAGCUGCGGUCCCCUAACUCACUCUCUUACACUGUUCUCUCUCUCUCUCUCUCUCUUCCUCUCUUCCUCUCUAUCACUGUUUCUGUUUCUGUCUCUGUCUCUAUGAGCAACUGCUGUUGUGUUUGAGAAUUGCAGAGAGAGAGAGAGAGAGAGAGAGAGAGAGGAACACACGCAGAUGCAUAGCUGGAGAGAGAGAGAGAGAGAGGAACACACGCAGAUGCAUAGCUGGAGAGAGAUAGAGAGAGAGAAAGAGAGAGA